RNAcentral lists this long non-coding RNA (762 nucleotides) under Brassica napus (rape). RNAcentral describes it as "long non-coding RNA (BNAP_LNC005982)". Lineage: Eukaryota; Viridiplantae; Streptophyta; Magnoliopsida; Brassicales; Brassicaceae. The record is from RNAcentral.
GGUGGCUACUCUGGAAGGAAAAUCCAUACCAUAGGGACGAUAGUUACUUUUUAUCUUUGACUUUAAAUUAUUGUUAUUCCCUGUGUCAAAUAUCGAAUCCCCGAAGAAAAACACGGCCGGUAUAGUUUUGUUUUCUGGCUUAGGUGGUAAUGGGGCAGGUGGGCUAGGUUUUGGUUUUGGCGAUGGAGCAGGUGGGCUAGGUUUUGGCGACGGGGCAGGUGGUGGUACAGGUUUCGGAGCUGGACUAGGUGGUGGCGGUGGUGGCGGUGAUGGGCCUGGCUUUGGUGAUGGAGCAGGUGUUGGUGGUGGCUUUGGUUGCGGCUUUGGUGGUUGAGGUGGGCAUGGAGUUGGGGCAGGUGCUGGUGGUGGCUUUGGCUGAGGCUUAGGUGGUAUUGGUGGACAUGCCGAUGGACCAGGCGGUGGUGGUGGCUUUGGUUGAGGCUUAGGUGGACAUGCCGAUGGACCAGGCGGUGGUGGUGGCUUUGGUUGCGGCUUAGGUGGUGGGCAUUGAGAUGGACCAGGGGCUGGUGGUGGUUUUGGUUGAGGCUUAGGUGGUAUUGGUGGACAUGCCGAUGGACCAGGCGCUGGUGAUGGCUUUGGUUGCGGCUUAGGUGGUAAUGGUGGGCGUGGAGAUGGGCCAGAUGGUGGACCAGGAUUUGGUGAUGGGCCUGGUGGUGGGCCAGAUUCUGGUGGUUCCAUUGGCCAUGGAUACGGCCAAGGCAUUGAUGGCCAAGGUAUUGAUGGCCACGGCCAGAGCCGUCG